This 201-nucleotide non-coding RNA is filed under the name Paraburkholderia fungorum. Lineage: Bacteria; Pseudomonadati; Pseudomonadota; Betaproteobacteria; Burkholderiales; Burkholderiaceae. The record is from RNAcentral.
GGUACGCUUCGCGCUGAUGGUUCCCGUUACCGGGAUCAAAGGGAACGCAGUACGAGCAGCCAUGCUCCGAAUCUGCGGCUGCCCCCGCAACUGUAAGCGGCGAGUCCGUGCCAUUCAUGACCACUGGAGCAGAGCACCGGGAAGGUCGGCACGUGACAUUGACCCGUGAGCCAGGAGACCUGCCAUCGAACCGAGGUCUGC